CAUUAGUAUUCUAGUGGGCAUCGCCUGUUCGAGCGUCAUUU
RNAcentral lists this ribosomal RNA (41 nucleotides) under uncultured fungus. Its description in RNAcentral is "partial 5.8S ribosomal RNA". Lineage: Eukaryota; Fungi. The record is from RNAcentral.